CAGUCGCCGCGGGAAAACGGAGGGGGCUAGCGUUGUUCGGAAUUACUGGGCGUAAAGCGCACGUAGGCGGCUUGGUAAGUUAGAGGUGAAAGCCUGGAGCUCAACUCCAGAAUUGCCUUUAAGACUGCCGAGCUAGCAGGUGAGAGAGGUAAGUGGAAUUCCGAGUGUAGAGGUGAAAUUCGUAGAUAUUCGGAAGAACACCAGUGGCGAAGGCGGCUUACUGGCUCAUACUGGACGCUGAGGUGCGAAAGCGUGGGGAGCAAACAGGAUUAGAUACCCCUGUAGUCCCUGUCUCUUAUAC
RNAcentral lists this ribosomal RNA (301 nucleotides) under uncultured bacterium. Its description in RNAcentral is "partial 16S ribosomal RNA". It matches the Rfam family "Bacterial small subunit ribosomal RNA", at positions 509 to 807 of the family's 1533-position model. The record is from RNAcentral.